Molecule: ribosomal RNA, 253 nt
Filed under: uncultured bacterium
Lineage: Bacteria
Description: partial 16S ribosomal RNA
Rfam family: Bacterial small subunit ribosomal RNA
Source: RNAcentral
UACAGAGGGUGCAAGCGUUGUUCGGAAUUAUUGGGCGUAAAGGGCGCGUAGGCGGUGCGGUAAGUCACCUGUGAAAUCUCCUGGCUUAACUGGGAGCCUGCAGGCGAAACUACCGUGCUGGAGUGUGGGAGAGGUGCGUGGAAUUCCCGGUGUAGCGGUGAAAUGCGCAGAUAUCAGGAAGAACACCCGUGGCGAAGGCGGCUCUCUGGGACGGUACUGACGCUGAGACGCGAAAGCGUGGGGAGCGAACAGG